RNAcentral lists this ribosomal RNA (377 nucleotides) under uncultured bacterium. RNAcentral describes it as "bacterial SSU rRNA". It matches the Rfam family "Bacterial small subunit ribosomal RNA", at positions 521 to 896 of the family's 1533-position model. The record is from RNAcentral.
UAAUACGUAGGAGGCGAGCGUUGUCCGGAAUUACUGGGUGUAAAGCGCGUGUAGGCGGAUGGCCAAGUCUGGGGUGAAAUCACCUGGCUCAACUGGGUGGGGUCCUUGGAAACUGGCGGUCUGGAGGACGGUAGAGGCGAGUGGAAUUCCCGGUGUAGUGGUGAAAUGCGUAGAGAUCGGGAGGAACACCAGUGGCGAAGGCGGCUCGCUGGGCCGGCCCUGACGCUGAGACGCGAAGGCGUGGGGAGCGAACGGGAUUAGAUACCCCGGUAGUCCACGCAGUAAACGAUGCACACUAGGUGUGGGGGGUAUCGAGCCCCUCCGUGCCGUAGCCAACGCAGUAAGUGUGCCACCUGGGGAGUACGGCCGCAAGGUUA